UGGGGAAUUUUGGACAAUGGGCGAAAGCCUGAUCCAGCCAUGCCGCGUGAGUGAAGAAGGCCUUCGGGUUGUAAAGCUCUUUUAGUCGGAAAGAAAGAGUUGCAAUGAAUAAUUGUGAUUUAUGACGGUACCGACAGAAAAAGCACUGGCUAACUACGUGCCAGCAGCCGCGGUAAUACGUAGGGUGCGAGCGUUAAUCGGAAUUACUGGGCGUAAAGGGUGCGCAGGCGGUCUUGCAAGUCAGAUGUGAAAGCCCCGGGCUUAACCUGGGAAUUGCGUUUGAAACUACAAGGCUAGAGUGCAGCAGAGGGGAGUGGAAUUCCAUGUGUAGCAGUGAAAUGCGUAGAGAUGUGGAAGAACACCGAUGGCGAAGGCAGCUCCCUGGGUUGACACUGACGCUCAUGCACGAAAGCGUGGGGAGCAAACA
This 427-nucleotide ribosomal RNA is filed under the name uncultured beta proteobacterium. RNAcentral describes it as "bacterial SSU rRNA". It matches the Rfam family "Bacterial small subunit ribosomal RNA", at positions 355 to 774 of the family's 1533-position model. Lineage: Bacteria; Pseudomonadati; Pseudomonadota; Betaproteobacteria. The record is from RNAcentral.